GUGCUCCCUUUAGCAGCACAGACUCUCAAAGGGGAAGGAUUCCAAGGUUAUCCUGGCCCCUGUGGAAGGAUGACACACAGAGUUGGGAAACUUUCCAUCAAAGA
This 104-nucleotide small nuclear RNA is filed under the name Dipodomys ordii (Ord's kangaroo rat). The record is from RNAcentral. Lineage: Eukaryota; Metazoa; Chordata; Mammalia; Rodentia; Heteromyidae.